Molecule: ribosomal RNA, 508 nt
Filed under: uncultured bacterium
Lineage: Bacteria
Description: partial 16S ribosomal RNA
Rfam family: Bacterial small subunit ribosomal RNA
Source: RNAcentral
GACGAACGCUGGCGGCGUGCUUAACACAUGCAAGUCGAACGGGCCUUGUCCCCUUUUUUUUUGGGGGUGGGGUUAGUGGCGUACGGGUGAGUAACACGUGAGUAACCUGCCCCUCACUUCUGGAUAACCGCUUGAAAGGGUGGCUAAUACGGGGUGUUCUGGCCUGCUCGCAUGGGUGGGUUUGGAAAGAUUCGACCGGUUUUGGUUGUUUUGGUGGGGGAUGGGCUCGCGGCCUAUCAGCUUGUUGGUGGGGUGAUGGCCUGCCAAGGCUUUGACGGGUAGCCGGCCUGAGAGGGUGGGCGGUCACACUGGGACUGAGACACGGCCCAGACUCCUACGGGAGGCAGCAGUGGGGAAUAUUGCACAAUGGGCGCAAGCCUGAUGCAGCGACGCCGCGUGAGGGAUGGAGGCCUUCGGGUUGUGAACCUCUUUCGCCAGUGAAGAAGGUCCUGCUCUUUGUGGUGGGGUUGACGGUAGCUGGGUUAAUGAAGCGCCGGCUAACUACGUG